RNAcentral lists this ribosomal RNA (615 nucleotides) under uncultured Candidatus Poseidoniales archaeon. Its description in RNAcentral is "bacterial SSU rRNA". It matches the Rfam family "Archaeal small subunit ribosomal RNA", at positions 1 to 622 of the family's 1478-position model. The record is from RNAcentral. Lineage: Archaea; Methanobacteriati; Thermoplasmatota; Candidatus Poseidoniia; Candidatus Poseidoniales.
ACCUGGUUGAUCCUGCCAGAGGCGACCGCUAUUGGAGUUCGAUUAAGCCAUGCGAGUAGAAAGAAAUUAGAUUCUUUGCAUACUGCUCAGUAACACGUGGAUAACCUGCCCUACACUGGGGGAUAAUCUCGGGAAACUGAGCAUAAUACCCCAUAGACCACUACGCCUGGAACGGUGAGUGGUUCAAAGCUUCGGCGGUGUAGGAUGGGUCUGCGGCGUAUCAGGUCGUAGGGGGUGUAAUGGACCUCCUAGCCAUCGACGCGUACGGGUUGUGGGAGCAAUAGCCCGGAGACGGAUUCUGAGACACGAAACCGGACCCUACGGGGUGCAGCAGGCGCGAAAACUUCACACUGCAGGAAACUGUGAUGAGGGAACUCCAAGUGACUGCACAAUGUGUAGCCUUUUCAUGAAUCUUAAUAGUUCUUGGAAUAAGGGCUGGGAAAGACCGGUGCCAGCCGCCGCGGUAAUACCGGCAGCUCAAGUGGUCGUCGCUUUUAUUGGGCCUAAAACGUCCGUAGCCUGUUUGGUAAAUCUGUGGGUAAAUCAACGAGCUUAACUCGUUGAAUUCUGCAGAGACUGCCAGACUAGGGACCGGGAGAGGUAUGAGGUACUCUG